CCUUCCUUGAAUUUUUUUGGUCUGACUAUCCCUGUUUCAGCCACAUGUGCAGCCGAUAAUUUCAAAACAAUGUAAGGUUCAAUCUCCAGCACUGCAAGGAAAAAGAAGUUCAAAGUAACGCAAGAAUUAUAAGGUGGUUCAAAUGGAAGGCGAAAUCCUCCUUAAUGGGAUCUGAAGGGAGCAUCCUGAAUUAGAAGCCUUGC
This is a long non-coding RNA of Fukomys damarensis (Damara mole-rat), 203 nucleotides long. RefSeq lists it as uncharacterized. The transcript has 3 exons. The record is from RefSeq and is a predicted model, not a curated record. NCBI's taxonomy places the organism in Eukaryota, Metazoa, Chordata, Mammalia, Rodentia, Bathyergidae.